Neofelis nebulosa (Clouded leopard) is the source of this 941-nucleotide long non-coding RNA. RefSeq lists it as uncharacterized. The record is from RefSeq and is a predicted model, not a curated record. The transcript is spliced from 4 exons. Lineage: Eukaryota; Metazoa; Chordata; Mammalia; Carnivora; Felidae.
AGAAAGUUCAUUUGACUUGCUUUACUGUGGCAUCUGUUGUGUCAUGGUGGUCUGAGCUAGACCCCGGGUGUCACUGAGGACCUACAUGGCAUCCGGGAAAGAGCAAGCACCAGUGAACAUUUGUCACCUGAAUGCACAGUCACGUUGCCUGUACUUCCUCUUCCGUGUGGCCUCACACGGGUUCCUUACUCAAGGCUCAGAAUCCGCACCUGGGAAAUGCGGCCGGCAAACACCUGACGGAGCUUCGGUGGCGACGAAUCCAGCAGGAAGAAUGAAGGCAGAGGGCUUGCAGGCAACACCAAGAGCGAUGGCCCUGUUUGUGUGCCACGUGACUCUCCCGCAGACCAGCAUGCUGAGGCAAGAGCGGGCAGGUUGCCCGACUUGCAUCUGGGUCUUUCCCCGCCGAGGGCCAGUGGUCUGACUUCCCACGGGAGCCCAGAGCCAGGCUGUCAGGCCUCUGGCAAGUCCAGGCACAAGACACGCUGACAGCAAAGCCACAGCUCCUGAAGUCGGCCACGUCGUGUUUCCGGCUCUGCCGCCAUCCCCAAGAGCAGGGCCCUCGCUCACCCUCCGUUCAUCUGUCCCCCCAACUAGUGCUUGACCCACGGCACCUGUGCCCCACGCCCGCCGCCACACAAACCCCACGUCCACCGGCAACUAGAGAGCCGUGAGCCACCUCCCCACAUCCCCGCGUUUCACCGCUUGGAGAGUCGGCAACCAGGGGCCAGACAGGAGCAUGUUGAUGGGGGGCAGGACUUCUCCUCGGGUGUUAGCAUAUUCUGUGCAGGUGGGACAGCCCCCAGGGCCCCAGGGCCCCUUCUCCAAGCCUGCCCCCUGCUUACCUCAGGUCGCCUCCGUUCAUGAUAGUUAUCACCAGACAGAGGUCGGUUUUGGUUUCAAAUGCAUAUGCCAGCGAGACUAUAAACCUGCUGUGUACCUUU